This 253-nucleotide ribosomal RNA is filed under the name uncultured bacterium. Its description in RNAcentral is "partial 16S ribosomal RNA". It matches the Rfam family "Bacterial small subunit ribosomal RNA", at positions 524 to 776 of the family's 1533-position model. The record is from RNAcentral.
UACGUAGGUGGCAAGCGUUGUCCGGAUUUAUUGGGCGUAAAGCGCGCGCAGGCGGUGAGGUAAGUCCGUCGUGAAAUCUCCCGGCUCAACUGGGAGGGUGCGGGGGAGACUGCCUGACUGGAGGCACUCAGAGGCCGGUGGAAUUCCCGGUGGAGUGGUGAAAUGCGUAGAGAUCGGGAGGAACACCAGUGGCGAAGGCGGCCGGCUGGGGGUGACCUGACGCUGAGGCGCGAAAGCGUGGGGAGCAAACAGG